CAGAGGAACCCCGGAUGCCAGCAGCCUGUCUUCAAAGAAGAGAGAAGGGGCUUCAGCCUAUUUAAGUGAUGAUUGGAAGAAUCCGAUUCAGAUAAGAUAAAUGACACAGAAGAAAGAAUGGGGUAAGAUUCCUGAGACUGAAAGAAAAGAGAGAAAAGAGAGCUCCACCAGAUACAGCUUUAGCAAACCGGAACACCUGCCAAGUCAUAAGUAAGAAGAUUUUUAAAAAAGCAGAAACCAACCAGCUGGCAAAAAAUUUCAGUGAUACAGCUACCAGACAUAGUUCAGAGGCACUGAGACCCAAGAUGACCACAUGCCCCUCUUCUCUGGUUUUCCAGUCCUGUCCCCAUACAUCACAGAUGCUGAUACCACACUGAGCUCAUCUCCUUCAACUCUGGAAAAUUAUGCUCCAAAAAAUGAAAUGAAUUGACUCUAUAUAGAAACGGAAGCUGAAUUUCCUCCACUAUGGACUUAGCCUUAGGUAUUGUCCCUCCCCAUCAUCAUAGGAAACUUCAACAUCCACAUGAACAACCCUCAAGAUUCUUUAAAAUGUUGGCCAUAAUAGAAGGUUCUAAGAUACCAUUGUCAACAAUGAAAACAGUCUUUGAACCUGUAUUACUCAUUUCUUACUCUUUCAUCAAGGCAGAAAGAGGCAACGAGAGAGCAGGAUUUGGAGUCAGAAAGACUAGAGCUUGAAUUGAAACCACUACUUACUUGUUACAUAAUCUUUGUGAAUAUACUUAAUCACUUUAAUCUCAAUUUUCUCAUCUGUAAAUUAGGUAUUAAAAUAAUAAUGACUACCUUAUAGUGGUACUUUGAGGACUAAACAAUUAAAAUACCUGUAAGUCAUAUAUUAUACCCUUUUUACGCAGACAUUCCUUAAUAAAUUAUGAAUACACAUAUUGAACUUGGGUUUAUAUAUCAAAAAACAACUAAAUUAAAA
Molecule: long non-coding RNA, 943 nt
Organism: Choloepus didactylus (southern two-toed sloth)
Lineage: Eukaryota; Metazoa; Chordata; Mammalia; Pilosa; Megalonychidae
Exons: 7
Source: RefSeq, a predicted model, not a curated record